CUCCAGAGCAUGGCAGUGAGACCACGGGGGAUGAGCUUCGUUGGUCGAAAGGGAAACAGCCCAGAUCAUCAGCUAAGGCCCCAAAUUCAGGACUAAGUGGAAAACGAUGUGGAUUUGCACAGACAGCCAGGAGGUUGGCUUAGAAGCAGCCAUCCUUAAAAGAGUGCGUAACAGCUCACUGGUCGAGUGAAUCUGCGCGGACAAUUUAACGGGGCUCAAGUCCUGAGCCGAAGCUAUGGAUUUCAACGUUUUACGUUGGAGUGGUAGAGGAGCGUUGAUGAAGCACUGAAGCGGCGGGAUAACCCGACGUGGAGUUUCAUCAAGUGAGAAUGUAGGCAUGAGUAGCGAGAGAGGAGUGAGAAACUCCUCCGCCGUAAGCCCAAGGGUUCCUGGGGAAGGCUAAUCCUCCCAGGGUAAGUCGGGAGCUAAGACGAGGCCGCGAGGCGUAGUCGAUGCACAACUGGUUGAUAUUCCAGUACCGCCAUAUACGCGCAAAGCUCAAUUUCGGUGAAGCAGGGGCUGCCUUCGGGCGAUCCUGACUAGCUGGAUGCGGGUAACUGAAGGGGGACACAGAAGGAUAGGUGAACCGGGGCGAUGGUUGUCCCCGGGUAAGUGUGUAGGAGGACUGCGAUGAGAAUUGCGGUCGUAACUCUGAGACACGAUGCCGAGCGGGUUUCCGCGAAGUCACUAAUUCCAUGCUGUCGAGAAAAGCCCAGCAGUGAGUUUGUAUGGCGCCCGUACCCCAAACCGACGCAGGUGGGCGGGUAGAGAAUACCGAGGCGAUCGGGAGAACUAUGGUUAAGGAACUCGGCAAAAUGCCUCCGUAACUUCGGAAGAAGGAGGACCCACGUAGGGUGAAGAGACUUCGCGUCUCCAGCCUGAAUGGGUGGCACAGAGCAGGGGGUAGCGACUGUUUAACAAAAACACAGCAGCGUGCGAAGCCGCAAGGCGCUGUAUACGCUGUGACGCCUGCCCAAUGCUGGAAGGUCACGAGGAACGGUUAGCCGCAAGGCGAAGCUGUGAAUCUAAGCCCCAGUGAAUGGCGGCCGUAACUAUAACGGUCCUAAGGUAGCGAAA
RNAcentral lists this ribosomal RNA (1077 nucleotides) under Burkholderiaceae bacterium. RNAcentral's name for it is "partial 23S ribosomal RNA". It matches the Rfam family "Bacterial large subunit ribosomal RNA", at positions 968 to 1964 of the family's 2925-position model. The record is from RNAcentral. Lineage: Bacteria; Pseudomonadati; Pseudomonadota; Betaproteobacteria; Burkholderiales; Burkholderiaceae.